CGCAAGGAAGUAAGAUCCCUGAAAGAUGAUCAGGUUGAUAGGUCUGAGGUGGAAGUGUGGCGACACAUGGAGCUGACAGAUACUAAUCGAUCGAGGACUUAACCAAAUUUCUA
This 113-nucleotide ribosomal RNA is filed under the name Bacillus subtilis. Its description in RNAcentral is "partial 23S ribosomal RNA". It matches the Rfam family "Bacterial large subunit ribosomal RNA", at positions 2819 to 2925 of the family's 2925-position model. Lineage: Bacteria; Bacillati; Bacillota; Bacilli; Caryophanales; Bacillaceae. The record is from RNAcentral.